AGUCCACAUCGACGGGGAGGUUUGGAACCUCGAUGUCGGCUCAUCACAUCCUGGGGCUGUAGUAGGUCCCAAGGGUUGGGCUGUUCGCCCAUUAAAGUGGUACGCGAGCUGGGUUCAGAACGUCGUGGGACAGUUCGGUCCCUAUCCGUCGCAGGCGUAGGAAAUUUGAGAAGACCUGUCCUUAGUACGAGAGGACCGGGAUGGACGUACCUCUGGUGUACCAGUUGU
This 228-nucleotide ribosomal RNA is filed under the name Clostridioides difficile. Its description in RNAcentral is "partial 23S ribosomal RNA". It matches the Rfam family "Bacterial large subunit ribosomal RNA", at positions 2497 to 2724 of the family's 2925-position model. The record is from RNAcentral. Lineage: Bacteria; Bacillati; Bacillota; Clostridia; Peptostreptococcales; Peptostreptococcaceae.